Long non-coding RNA from Salvelinus namaycush (lake trout), 1058 nucleotides. RefSeq lists it as uncharacterized. The transcript has 4 exons. NCBI's taxonomy places the organism in Eukaryota, Metazoa, Chordata, Actinopteri, Salmoniformes, Salmonidae. The record is from RefSeq and is a predicted model, not a curated record.
CGUCUACAAGCCCUGAUGAGUGAGGUGGCUGAGCCAGAGGCGGGACAGACGGCCUGUUUUGCAUUGAGUUGCCUAGUAACAGAAGAUGGACACGAUCUGGUGCUGGGUAGCCCCUCCUUCCCCAGUCUGCUUGAUUUCCUUCUUUACCGCUUACAAACAGAAAACCAGGACAGUUCCUGGUUCGCUGCCAUUCUCUCUCCAGCUCUCCCUCCAUUGGCCAGGAGCUCAGGGAGGAAGUGAACUCAUGUCUUAGGAACCUGUAGCUGUUUUCCAAGCCAUUGCCCAUGACAACUAGACUCCUCCCAUUGGGGGCCUGCACUGUGUCCUAGGAGAAGUGUUUCCUUGAGAAUGGGCUAGAGAUCACAUACAGCCUUCUGGACAGAGACUGUUCUCUAUCUUGGAACCCUAAGUCCUGUGACCUUGUCUGUCUUUAUCCUCAAACAUGGACAUGAACUCUGACUCAGACUGCUCCACUCUACCUCUGAUGGGGGCACCUGCAGUGACCCUGUGCUAUUGGCCAUAGAAUCAGAGGAUGGAGGGACAAGGCCUGGUCCUCCACAGGAGCUGCGUGUGAUUGGAUCCACAGCAUCUCAUGUGCGACGGAGUUGGGUUUCACUGGCGGGGCUAUAGUGUGUGGGCUGUCCCCAGGAACCCUGUACCAACUGAGUGUGCGCAGUGGGGCCUGGGGAAGAGGUUGGCCCCUGUGUGGCGGUGAAGGUCCGUACAGCCGAGGCCACCAACACAACAUACCACCAACAUACCUGUACUGUAACGGCCAUCACUUCCAAAGGGCGCUGUUAGAGCCUGCCCAUCACCAAGAGGACCGACAGGACGAGAAGUCAAACAGGACAAUGACCCUAAGCACACAGCCAAGACAAUGCAGGAAUGGCUUUGGGACAAGUCUCUGAAUGUCCUUGAGUAAAUGAGCCCGGACUUGAACCCGAUCGAACAUCUCUGGAGACUUGAAAAUAGUCGUGCAGCAACGCUUUCCAUCCAACCUGACAGAGUUUGAGAGGAUCCACAGAGAAGAAUGGGAGAAACUCCCCAAAUACAGGUGU